GCAUGUGCCUACUGUGCAGGUUUUAACCCCUUCAAGGCCUCGCUUUGUUCCGUCUUUUACAGGACCUCCCGAUCCUUGUUCGGUGUAUACCCGACCCUUUUGUAAUCUAAUCCGAUCUCCUGGUCCUAGAUUCCAAGUCGACAAUGACGUGGACACGGAUUGGAUGCGCCAUUUUUCAUUUUUCUCUAAAACCCCUGCAGCGUACGAAGGGACUGGUGUUGGAAGGGUAGAGGCUUUCCCAGACCGCCGGGCGGAGGCCAAGCUGGGCCAGCGGCUCCCGGGACGGCACCCGUGCACCAGCUCCACUGAGCCUGCCCUGGCGUCUGGCCUCCUCUUUGCCCUGCUCAAGACUGGCCACGGGCACCAUCCUGUCCCUAGAAAGUUGAUCUUUUCUCUGAAGAAACAGAAACCGAACUGAGGACUGCCUGGAAGCCCGGAACAUUCCGGGUUCUGUUGACUCGACGGCUGAAGGCAGGAUUUGUGUCCCUCAGAACAGGCUGUGGUGGUCUGUGAAGGUAGCUUCCAUGGGUGGAAAUUCCUUGUGGCUUCCGAACCCUCCCUUGACUUGAACGGCGUUUCAUUGGGAGCAGUUUAUGCUUCAGCAUAGCUUUAUGUUUGGAUUAGGAAAGCACAAAGAGCCACUCAUUCGGACUGGGCAGCGUACAAGGGCUGUGUCUCUUCGUGCACCUUGUGGCUUUAGCUGUACUCAGUUGUUUUCACUAGCAACAGACACUUUGUAACCCCUUUAAAAGUUAAGCUCCCUCUUGCUCCCCACAUGCCACGGGGACUUAGUACUCGCUGCCCCUCUGACUGAAGCCCCUUCAGUGUGACCCUCAGCAUCAAGAGGGGGCGCACAGAACAGAUCCAAAGCAGAAACCGCUCUGCCAAGAUAAAGCUCCCUAGCGGGAGGGAACCAAUUCAACAAAAUCAAAACUUAAGAUCCCUCUAAAGAAAAACUGGAAGGAUUGACUGCAAACCUGUAAUGCAUAUUGGACACUUUCAAAUGUGUUUGCCCACUUAAUUUUCAUGGUAUGUAUACCUGUGAGGUUGAUAGGUCUCAUCCACAUUCUAGGUGGAUCUUCCUAAAGGUGUAUAAUCUUUGAACAGUUUCAUGUAUUUAUUUAUGUAAAUAAAUAAACAGCUGCUUUCCUUUUGAGAACAUCUGCUUUGAACACCAAAAAAAAUCCUUUCCAAAACCAGCCUCAUCAACUACAGGAUACUUGGCAUGCAUACUUCCCAAUUUAAGGACCCAGAGAUUUGCCUGAACAAAAUGCUCCAGGGAGGAUGAGGAGCCAAGAGAAUUUUUGCAGUUUAACCAGACCAGUGUCCUGAGUCUUGGAGAUGGUCUGUCAGCAGUACUCAAAAGUGUGGUCCCUGAGCCAGCAGCACAGGGCAACUCCUGUGACCUCAUUAGAAAAUUCCGGAAAAUGCAAGAUCAAGGACGCCUUUCCAUUAACUGUUAUAGUGAUGAGAUCAAACAUCCUGUAACCUUUGGAAAACUACUGUGCAUUCAUAAAAGAAUGAGAUUGAAAGGGGAAGUUAAUAUCUUAGAAUUAUGAAGUUUCAAUUUCACAAGCUUCAAGUCUCAAGGAAUUUUUAAAAUAUACUUUUAAUGAGUGCAAUUUGAUAAGCCUUUUAAAGGCCACUUGACUUUUGAUCUUCAGACCAUACUACAAAAAUAUUCAGAUAGGCACACAUACAGACACAGUGUAUUUCACUUGUGUAUUCAGCACUGUUCACUACGAUACCAAUAACUUUAGAGAAAAACUGGAAAUAACUUUUUUUCUGAUAUGGGGGAUCAAACUCAGGAUCUUGUGCUUACAAGGCAGGCACGGCACCACUGAGAUAAAUCUCUGGCCCCGGAAAUAGAUUUCUUCAUAGGUGAUGCAAUUGUAGCUACUCAGGAGGCUGAAGCAGGAGGAAUCAAAGUUGCGGGCCACAAAUCCAUGCAAUUAAGAAUGA
This is a long non-coding RNA of Heterocephalus glaber (naked mole-rat), 1962 nucleotides long. RefSeq lists it as uncharacterized. Lineage: Eukaryota; Metazoa; Chordata; Mammalia; Rodentia; Bathyergidae. The record is from RefSeq and is a predicted model, not a curated record.